UGGGGACCUGAGGAGGUAUGGUCAUAUAUAAAGGGAGGAGUCAACAUGCUGGGUUCAGGUAAGCUCCGCCUAAACAGUCAUGCCGCCAAAGCAAAAAAAAAAAAAAAAAAAAAAAAAGGCCAUCAUCCCUUUUUGCCACUUGUCAUUCAAAAGUGGUCUACGCCCAAUUUCGGGUGACAUGACUCCAUCUUUGUGACAAUUUUCUUGAAAAGCGGGAAGUCAUCAAGGACGUGCUUCUUUGUUGUUAGUGAUACAGGUGCAGGCGGAAGGCAUUAGCGUUGUGCUCAGCGAGCAGGAACAGGAAGAAGUGGAAGAAGAAAAGGCAGGAAGCGUGAAAGUCAGCAACACUGCAUGAAUAAGAAGACAAGCUUCAUAAUGUCAUCCAGCCAGGCCAGGUCGUGCUGGGAGAACAUCAUAUCCAGUAGCUUUCGUACCACCAUCAGACCCAGAAUCUGCACACGGGAACCCAUGUACUCACCAUCACGGGGAAGAUGAUAGCCAGGAAGGUGGACUUCAGGACCCAGAGGACAGCCAGGCAGGUGAUCUGAACCAAGGUGAAAAGGUGGACUCGGCGCAGAGGAACGUGACGCAGGAAGGCAAAGUCCGG
Long non-coding RNA from Hippocampus zosterae (dwarf seahorse), 607 nucleotides. RefSeq lists it as uncharacterized. The record is from RefSeq and is a predicted model, not a curated record. The transcript has 3 exons. NCBI's taxonomy places the organism in Eukaryota, Metazoa, Chordata, Actinopteri, Syngnathiformes, Syngnathidae.